This is a non-coding RNA of Rhizophagus irregularis DAOM 197198w, 118 nucleotides long. NCBI's taxonomy places the organism in Eukaryota, Fungi, Glomeromycota, Glomeromycetes, Glomerales, Glomeraceae. The record is from Rfam.
GUCUCUUCGGAGCGACACUUAUUAAAAUUGGAACGAUACAGAGAAGAUUAGCAUGGCCCCUGCACAAGGAUGACACGUUAUCUUGAGUGGAUAGCAGCUAAGGCUGCAAUAUUUUUUU